RNAcentral lists this ribosomal RNA (525 nucleotides) under uncultured eukaryote. RNAcentral describes it as "eukaryotic LSU rRNA". The stretch from base 132 to 285 matches the Rfam family "5.8S ribosomal RNA". The record is from RNAcentral.
AACUCCCAAACCCUAUGUGAACUUACCACUUGUUGCUUCGGCGCGCGCUUCGGCGCCGCCGAGGACACUUAAACUCUUUGUUUUUAUAAGCAUUUCUGAGUGGCCGAAAGGCAAAAAUACAAAUGAAUCAAAACUUUCAACAAUGGAUCUCUUGGUUCUGGCAUCGAUGAAGAACGCAGCGAAAUGCGAUAAGUAAUGUGAAUUGCAGAAUUCAGUGAAUCAUCGAAUCUUUGAACGCACAUUGCGCCCGCCAGCAUUCUGGCGGGCAUGCCUGUUCGAGCGUCAUUUCAACCCUCGAGCCCGACUCUUUUGAGGACGGCUCGGCGUUGGGGGACGGCAGACUCCCCCCGGCAUCUCGCCGGGGACGCCGCCCCCGAAAUCUAGUGGCGGCCCUCCGAGGCGACCUCUGCGUAGUAACUUGUUCUCGCACCGGAAAGCUCAGAGCGGCCACGCCGUAAAACCCCAACUUUUUUCAGGUUGACCUCGAAUCAGGUAGGACUACCCGCUGAACUUAAGCAUAUCAAU